UAAUACAUCGGAACGUGUCCUUUGGUGGGGAAUAACCAGUCGAAAGACUGGCUAAUACCGCAUAAGCUCGCAAGAGGAAAGCAGGGGACCUGGAAACGGGCCUUGCGCGAUUGGAGCGGCCGAUGUCCGAUUAGCUAGUUGGUAGGGUAAAGGCCUACCAAGGCAUCGAUCGGUAGCUGGUCUGAGAGGAUGAUCAGCCACACUGGGACUGAGACACGGCCCAG
RNAcentral lists this ribosomal RNA (224 nucleotides) under uncultured bacterium. Its description in RNAcentral is "partial 16S ribosomal RNA". It matches the Rfam family "Bacterial small subunit ribosomal RNA", at positions 111 to 334 of the family's 1533-position model. The record is from RNAcentral.